This 376-nucleotide ribosomal RNA is filed under the name uncultured organism. RNAcentral describes it as "partial 16S ribosomal RNA". It matches the Rfam family "Bacterial small subunit ribosomal RNA", at positions 527 to 896 of the family's 1533-position model. The record is from RNAcentral.
GUAGGUGGCAAGCGUUGUCCGGAAUUAUUGGGCGUAAAGCGCGCGCAGGCGGUUCCUUAAGUCUGAUGUGAAAGCCCACGGCUCAACCGUGGAGGGUCAUUGGAAACUGGAGAACUUGAGUACAGAAGAGGAAAGCGGAAUUCCACGUGUAGCGGUGAAAUUGCGUAGAGAUGUGGAGGAACACCAGUGGCGAAGGCGGCUUUUCUGGUCUGUAACUGACGCUGAGGCGCGAAAGCGUGGGGAGCAAACAGGGAUUAGAUACCCUGGUAGUCCACGCCGUAAACGAUGAGUGCUAAGUGUUAGGGGGGUUUCCGCCCCCUUAGUGCUGCAGCUAACGCAUUAAGCACUCCGCCUGGGGAGUACGGCCGCAAGGCUG